RNAcentral lists this ribosomal RNA (483 nucleotides) under uncultured bacterium. RNAcentral's name for it is "bacterial SSU rRNA". It matches the Rfam family "Bacterial small subunit ribosomal RNA", at positions 29 to 506 of the family's 1533-position model. The record is from RNAcentral.
AUGAACGCUAGCGGCAGGCUUAACACAUGCAAGUCGAGGGGUAACAGGAGAGCUUGCUCUUGCUGACGACCGGCGCACGGGUGCGUAACACGUAUGCAACCUACCUUUUACUGGAGGAUAACUCGGAGAAAUUCGGGCUAAUACUGCGUAUUAUCUUGGAGAGGCAUCUUUUCAGGAUGAAAGAUUUAUUGGUAAGAGAUGGGCAUGCGUCCUAUUAGCUAGUUGGUGAUGGUAAUGGCACACCAAGGCGACGAUAGGUAGGGGUUCUGAGAGGGAUAUCCCCCANACUGGUACUGAGACACGGACCAGACUCCUACGGGAGCAGCAGUGAGGAAUAUUGGACAAUGGGCGAAGCCUGAUCCAGCCAUGCCGCGUGCAGGAUGACGGCCCCUAUGGGUUGUAAACUGCUUUUAUACGGGGAAGAAUAAGGAGUAUGCGUACUCUGAUGACGGUACCGUAGGAAUAAGCAUCGGCUAACUCCGU